RNAcentral lists this ribosomal RNA (468 nucleotides) under uncultured bacterium. RNAcentral's name for it is "partial 16S ribosomal RNA". It matches the Rfam family "Bacterial small subunit ribosomal RNA", at positions 28 to 507 of the family's 1533-position model. The record is from RNAcentral.
GACGAACGCUGGCGGCGUGCUUAACACAUGCAAGUCGAACGGAAAGGCCCUGCUUUUGUGGGGUGCUCGAGUGGCGAACGGGUGAGUAACACGUGAGUAACCUGCCCUUGACUUUGGGAUAACUUCAGGAAACUGGGGCUAAUACCGGAUAGGAGCUCCUGCUGCAUGGUGGGGGUUGGAAAGUUUCGGCGGUUGGGGAUGGACUCGCGGCUUAUCAGCUUGUUGGUGGGGUAGUGGCUUACCAAGGCUUUGACGGGUAGCCGGCCUGAGAGGGUGACCUGCCACAAUGGGAAUGAGAUAGGGCCCAGACUCCUACGGGAGGGAGCAGUGGGGGAUAUUGCACAAUGGGGGGAAGGCUGAUGCAGCAACGCCGCGUGCGGGAUGACGGCCUUCGGGGUGUAAACCGCUUUCGCCUGUGACGAAGCGUGAGUGACGGUAAUGGGUAAAGAAGCACCGGCUAACUACGUG